GUUCAUCCUCACUGCCAUGGUGGCUCAACCUAGAAAAGUGAUCUUCACAGAGAAAGGCCUAGAGAAGGGCCUGGUCCCCUCCCAAACCUCUCCCGGCUCCCCUGGCUGGGUUCUCGCUGAGGGCUGCACGACGAGGCCACCCCUCAUGAGGGUCCCCUGGAGUUCGGUGGGAAAGAGCGAACGAGACGAGCCGCUAUUCAGCCACUUGUGGACCACACGGUCCUACACAGAUGCCGAGUGUCCGGGUGCCUCCAACCACCGGAUGCCUGGCGCAGUCACCCAGGAAGUUAGAGCAGACUGUGGCUGAGGAAAUCAGAAAUCAAAGGUCAGAGAGACCCCAGCUGCUUCUUCCCAUGCUGGUCCCCACAGUGAGGCCUGUGACCCGGUUCCCGGUGCCACACACCUUCACUCAGCUCUCCUCCCCGGCAGUGCCUGACCUCGUCCAGGCCCGACCCUGAAGCGCGAGUCUUGGCUGCUGCCCAGUCUGUCCAGACCUCAGCGAGGCUGCCCCGGCUGCAGAGUAUCCCUGAACACCUGCCAGGCGCUGGUCACUGAUGUUCUCCGGACACACGGACGCCAAAACGCCCCGCUCCAGUUCCAGCCCACUUUUCGCAUUUCCCAGUGCCCGCCGACCUCCGCUGUCUCAUCCCACAGCUGGAAAAGAAUCAAGAACAUGUUGGCCAAUCCACCCAUAUUCUACACACAAGGUGCUGCUCAGAGCAGUGACCAGUCGGGUGAGUGGCCAAGUGCCGGAGGGGGCAGGACCAGAGGAGCCACAGCCCUGUCUUUCCUCCCACGUCACCUCCCACCACGUGGGCCAUUUACGUGGAAGAUGCAUCGUGACACUACUUGAAUUGAAACAGGGCCUUCUGAGGAGUUCAAAACACUUCACCAACCUCCAGGUUGUAUAA
Molecule: long non-coding RNA, 911 nt
Filed under: Felis catus (domestic cat)
Lineage: Eukaryota; Metazoa; Chordata; Mammalia; Carnivora; Felidae
Description: lncRNA (ENSFCAG00000045124.2)
Source: RNAcentral